UACGUAGGGGGCUAGCGUUGUCCGGAAUCAUUGGGCGUAAAGCGCGCGUAGGCGGCCCGGUAAGUCCGCUCUGAAAGUCCAGGGCUCAACCCUGGAAAGCGGGUGGAUACUGCCGGGCUAGAAUCCGGAAGAGGCGAGUGGAAUUCCUGGUGUAGCGGUGAAAUGCGUAGAGAUGUGGAGGAACACCGAUGGCGAAGGCAGCCUUCUGGGCCAACACUGACGCUCAUGCACGAAAGCGUGGGGAGCAAACAGG
Molecule: ribosomal RNA, 253 nt
Filed under: uncultured bacterium
Lineage: Bacteria
Description: partial 16S ribosomal RNA
Rfam family: Bacterial small subunit ribosomal RNA
Source: RNAcentral